ACGAACUCUGGUAUUGAUUGGUGCUUGCAUCAUGAUUUACAUUUGAGUGAGUGGCGAACUGGUGAGUAACACGUGGGAAACCUGCCCAGAAGCGGGGGAUAACACCUGGAAACAGAUGCUAAUACCGCAUAACAACUUGGACCGCAUGGUCCGAGUUUGAAAGAUGGCUUCGGCUAUCACUUUUGGAUGGUCCCGCGGCGUAUUAGCUAGAUGGUGGGGUAACGGCUCACCAUGGCAAUGAUACGUAGCCGACCUGAGAGGGUAAUCGGCCACAUUGGGACUGAGACACGGCCCAAACUCCUACGGGAGGCAGCAGUAGGGAAUCUUCCACAAUGGACGAAAGUCUGAUGGAGCAACGCCGCGUGAGUGAAGAAGGGUUUCGGCUCGUAAAACUCUGUUGUUAAAGAAGAACAUAUCUGAGAGUAACUGUUCAGGUAUUGACGGUAUUUAACCAGAAAGCCACGGCUAACUACGUGCCAGCAGCCGCGGUAAUACGUAGGUGGCAAGCGUUGUCCGGAUUUAUUGGGCGUAAAGCGAGCGCAGGCGGUUUUUUAAGUCUGAUGUGAAAGCCUUCGGCUCAGCCGAA
This 586-nucleotide ribosomal RNA is filed under the name Lactiplantibacillus plantarum. RNAcentral describes it as "bacterial SSU rRNA". It matches the Rfam family "Bacterial small subunit ribosomal RNA", at positions 66 to 617 of the family's 1533-position model. Lineage: Bacteria; Bacillati; Bacillota; Bacilli; Lactobacillales; Lactobacillaceae. The record is from RNAcentral.